UUUGAUUAGGUCCUUGUCUAUGUUCCUUGGAACAGGACGUCAUAGAGGGUGAGAAUCCCGUUUGGCGAGGAUACCUUUUCUCUGUAAGACUUUUUCGAAGAGUCGAGUUGUUUGGGAAUGCAGCUCAAAGUGGGUGGUAAAUUCCAUCUAAAGCUAAAUAUUGGCGAGAGACCGAUAGCGAACAAGUACAGUGAUGGAAAGAUGAAAAGAACUUUGAAAAGAGAGUGAAAAAGUACGUGAAAUUGUUGAAAGGGAAGGGCAUUUGAUCAGACAUGGUGUUUUUUGCAUGCACUCGCCUCUCGUGGGCUUGGGCCUCUCAAAAAUUUCACUGGGCCAACAUCAAUUCUGGCAGUAGGAUAAAUCAUUAAGAAUGUAGCUACCUCGGUAGUGUUAUAGCUUAUUGGAAUACUGCUAGCUGGGAUUGAGGACUGCGCUUCGGCAAGGAUGUUGGCAUAAUGGUUAAAUGCCGCC
RNAcentral lists this ribosomal RNA (471 nucleotides) under Hanseniaspora opuntiae. Its description in RNAcentral is "partial 26S ribosomal RNA". It matches the Rfam family "Eukaryotic large subunit ribosomal RNA", at positions 164 to 649 of the family's 3401-position model. Lineage: Eukaryota; Fungi; Ascomycota; Saccharomycetes; Saccharomycodales; Saccharomycodaceae. The record is from RNAcentral.